GGCUGGCUGGCCAAAUGGUAAGGCGUCGGACUCCUAUGAAUAGCGUAUCCGAAGAUUCUGGGUUCGAGUCCCAGGUUGGUCG
Molecule: transfer RNA, 82 nt
Filed under: Colletotrichum cereale
Lineage: Eukaryota; Fungi; Ascomycota; Sordariomycetes; Glomerellales; Glomerellaceae
Description: tRNA-Arg
Rfam family: tRNA
About the family: Transfer RNA (tRNA) molecules are approximately 80 nucleotides in length. Their secondary structure includes four short double-helical elements and three loops (D, anti-codon, and T loops).
Source: RNAcentral